Molecule: transfer RNA, 61 nt
Filed under: Pollicipes pollicipes
Lineage: Eukaryota; Metazoa; Arthropoda; Thecostraca; Pollicipedomorpha; Pollicipedidae
Description: tRNA-Gly
Source: RNAcentral
GUUUAAUUAGUAUAAAGAGUAUAUAGACUUCCAAUCUUUAGGUCUAAAUUUAGAUUAAACA